RNAcentral lists this ribosomal RNA (549 nucleotides) under uncultured Verrucomicrobiota bacterium. Its description in RNAcentral is "bacterial SSU rRNA". It matches the Rfam family "Bacterial small subunit ribosomal RNA", at positions 9 to 536 of the family's 1533-position model. Lineage: Bacteria; Pseudomonadati; Verrucomicrobiota. The record is from RNAcentral.
GAGUUUGAUCAUGGCUCAGAACGAACGCUGGCGGCGUGGAUAAGACAUGCAAGUCGGACGAGAUUUUUCGUUGUAGCAAUACGAUGGAAAGUCUAGUGGCGAACGGGUGCUUAACACGUGGGCAACCUGCCAGGAAGUGGGGGACAGCUCGCCGAAAGGCGGAUUAAUACCGCAUGUGAUUAGAGAGGACAUCCUUUCGAAAUUAAAGUCGGGGCAACCUGACGCUUCUUGUGGGGCCCGCGGCCUAUCAGCUAGUUGGUGAGGUAACGGCUCACCAAGGCUUUGACGGGUAGCUGGUCUGAGAGGACGACCAGCCACACUGGGACUGAGACACGGCCCAGACACCUACGGGUGGCAGCAGUCGAGAAUUUUUGACAAUGGGGGAAACCCUGAUCGAGCGACGCCGCGUGGAGGAUGAAGGUCUUCGGAUUGUAAACUCCUGUCAUUGGGGGACAAGGUGCAUACGUUAACUGCGUGUGCAUUGAUAGUACCCGAAGAGGAAGAGACGGCUAACUCUGUGCCAGCAGCCGCGGUAAUACAGAGGUCUCA